This 367-nucleotide ribosomal RNA is filed under the name uncultured organism. Its description in RNAcentral is "bacterial LSU rRNA". It matches the Rfam family "Bacterial large subunit ribosomal RNA", at positions 2099 to 2465 of the family's 2925-position model. The record is from RNAcentral.
CUUUACUGUAGCCUGGUAUUGGGUUCGGGCUUUGACUGCGCAGGAUAGGUGGGAGACUAUGAAGCAAUCCUUGUGGGGGUUGCUGAGUCAACGGUGAGAUACCACUCUGUCAGAGCUAGAAUUCUAACUAAAUGCCGUUAUCCGGCUUUGGAACCGUAUCAGGUGGGCAGUUUGACUGGGGCGGUCGCCUCCUAAAAGGUAACGGAGGCGUGCAAAGGUUCCCUCAGGCUGGUUGGAAAUCAGCCACAGAGUGCAAAGGCAGAAGAGAGCUUGACUGCAAGAGCUACAACUCGAGCAGGGUGGAAACACGGCCUUAGUGAUCCGACGGCGCUGAGUGGAAGGGCCGUCGCUCAACGGAUAAAAGUUA